CUUUAGAGUAGUCCAAUUUUUUUUUUUUUUUCAUUAAUGGAUAUUUUAGCUGUGUGUUUUGGGUCAUUAUCCUGUUGGAGAACCUAUGACCUGUGACUGAGACCAAGCUUUCUGACACUAGGCAGCACAUUUCCCUCCAGAAUGCCUUG
This is a long non-coding RNA of Bufo bufo (common toad), 149 nucleotides long. RefSeq lists it as uncharacterized. The transcript is spliced from 4 exons. Lineage: Eukaryota; Metazoa; Chordata; Amphibia; Anura; Bufonidae. The record is from RefSeq and is a predicted model, not a curated record.